GUCUUCAGCCCAAACGUGUCUUUCCUAUAAAACUUCCAAAGGGAGAUAAGGGAAAGUGCUUGGGUACUGGAACCUAUGGUGAGGGUCUGUAGGCAAAGCACUAAUCUGCAUAUUCGAUUUGGUCCAUGAGUUUCUUUGAUGAAGGCCCUUCCUGACCAUUGGUGACCACUGAGAGUACACUGGAUGUGCCGGAGGUGACAUUUUCAAAUCCCAUUUCACUUGAAAUGUCCCUGAACCGUGUCAACAUCAGCUGGGAUGAGCGUGUUUGGUCGCGGCGUGUGUACGGACCUUGUGA
Long non-coding RNA from Solea senegalensis (Senegalese sole), 295 nucleotides. RefSeq lists it as uncharacterized. NCBI's taxonomy places the organism in Eukaryota, Metazoa, Chordata, Actinopteri, Pleuronectiformes, Soleidae. The record is from RefSeq and is a predicted model, not a curated record. The transcript is spliced from 3 exons.